This 9693-nucleotide long non-coding RNA is filed under the name Homo sapiens (human). RNAcentral describes it as "HSALNT0119249". Lineage: Eukaryota; Metazoa; Chordata; Mammalia; Primates; Hominidae. The record is from RNAcentral.
UCAACAUCCAUUUAUUUUUCAAUGUUAAAACACACUUGCAUUCCUAGAAUAAAUCCACUUUUUGUGAUGUGUUAACUUAUUAUCAAAUACAUUUUUAUACAGCAGCUUACUCGUGAGCUUGACAGUCACUGGGUCAAGUAUUUUGCUCCAUAUUUUAACAUAUAUUGAAUUAUUUUUGAUAUCUUAACUCUUGAUGUUUUUGACAUUUUAAGUCUUUUAAGAAGUAAAAUUGAAAAAAUCUACUUAUUCUUCCUAUUGUUAUGGUAGACAUGCUCAUGCAGGUAAUACCUCAGAAGUUUUCCAGGCAUUACUGUCUGGUAAUGUGUAGAUAAAACAGACUGUUGUGUUCUUACACUUUGGAUAACAGGAAUUUCUACAACUUCUCCAGGCUUCACAAAUCAGACACACUUUUUUCUUAAUGCCCAAGUAGCAAUAAUCCAAGCUACUAUCCUACAUGUCUAUGAAGUCUUUAACAAGAUUUUCCUCCAAGAAUACAUUUUAGUUGGAUAAUUUUACCUUACCUAGUUUUUACUCAUUUUCUCAGAAUAUCACUCCAAAAUAAAAGCUAUUCUUUAUCUUUGCAUAACCAACAGUUCCAUUAAAGUAUUUUUCUUUAAUUAAACAUGUAGUUUAUCCACAAAAGGGAAUCCAAACUUCUCAUUCUGUGGAAAAUUUGAAAAACUACAGUCUAGAAGAUUCUGUUAUUAUAUUGCCAUUCCCAUCUAGGAGUGAGUUCUGCCAUUUUUAUAUGUUACUUAUUGUGUCUUCUUUAUAUUUACAUUAUUUUAAGUAUUUUUAUAUUAUGAUACUUUGUUUAUAUUUUAAACUAGAACACAAUUGACAGAAACUGCAGUUAAUCUAAUUAUGGAUUAGACAGUUGCAGGAAACAUUAGUUUACUCUAGGAAGGGAAACACAAAUUGAGUUGUUGUAAGGACACAAUAGGCAAACUGAGUCAUCCAAAAAUGAGAAAUAAAGUAGCAGCAGGUCACAGCAGAACUAACUAGAACUGGAAAUUCAAACACGAGUUUACAGAUUCCACCCUGAAAAGGCUUAUCUCUGUUUUUUCAUCUAAUUUCUUUUUAGCUUUAUAAUUUUGUACAUGCCCUAGCAUGACUACCUCUCUCUCCCAUUUUGGCGUGGCUUUACUAUUCAUGUAUUCAUUGUUUUUUUAAAUAUUAGGGAGGGAAGACUCUUAUCUUUCAUUUCUUAUGUACCCCCAUGAAGACUUUCAGCUGAAAUAACUCAUCUCUCACUCGUUUUUCUUUUAUUUUUUUAUUUAUUUCUUCUAAAAAAAAUGGGAUACAUAUGCAGAUGUGCAGGUUUGUUACAUAGGUAUACAAGUGUCAUGGUGGUAUGCUGUACCUAUUGACCCAUCCUCUAAGUUCCCUCCCCUCACCCUCCACCCCUCAACAGGCCCUGGUGUGUGUGUUCCCCUCUCUGUGUCCAUGUGUUUUGAAUGUUCAACCUCCACUUAUGAGAGAGCAUGCGGGGUUUGGUUUUCUGUUCCUGUGUUAGUUUGCUGAGGAUGAUGGCUUCCAGCUUCAUUCAUGUCCCUGCAAAGGACAUGAUCUUAUUCCUUUUUAUGGCUGCUUAGAAUUCCAUGGUGUAUAUAUGCCACACUUCUUUAUCCAGUCUAUCAUUGGGUUGGUUCCGUGUCUUUGCUAUUGUAAAUAGUGCUGCAAUAAACAUAUGUGUGCAUGUUUCUUUAUAGUAGAAUGGUUUAUAAUCCUUUGGGUAUAUACUCAGUUAUGGGAUUGCUGGAUCAAGUGGUAAUUCUGGUUCUAGAUCCUUGAGGAAUCGCCAUACUGUCUUCCACAAUGGUUGAACUAAUUUACAUUCCCACCAACAGUGUAAAAGCGUUCCUAUUUCUCCACAGCCUCGCCAGCAUAUAUUGUUUCCUGACUUUUUAAUAAUUGCCAUUCUGACUGGCAUGAGAUGGUAUCUCACUGUGGUUUUGAUUUGCAUUUCUCUGAUGAUCAGUGAUAUUGAGCUUUUUUUCAUAUGCUUGCUGGCCAUGUAAAUGUCUUCUUUUAGAAGUGUCUGCUCAUAUCCUUCACCCACUUUUUGAUGGGGUUGUUUGUCUUUUUCUUGUAAAUAUGUUCAAGUUCCUUGUAAAUUCUGGAUAUUAGACCUUUGUCAGAUGGGUAGAUUGCAAAUAUUUUCUCCCAUUCUGCAGGUUGCCUGUUCACUCUGGUGAUGAUAGUUUCUUUUGUUGUGCAGAAGCUCUUUAGUUUAACUAGAUCCCAUUUGACAAUUUUAGCUUUUGCUGCAAUUGCUUUUGGUGUUUUCGUCAUGAAGUCUUUGCCCAUGCCUAUGUCCUGAGUGGUAUUGCCUAGGUUACUCUUUAUUGACUCCACAUCUUGAAAGGAGAAGGGAUUAUUUUGUUUAGCGAGUUUGAAAUAACUUGUUGAGCAUGCUCUGCUAGCACCUUUCUCCUGACUGUGUUCAGUUGUGUCUGCCUAUUGAAAGGAAAGUUUCUUACCUACUUUCAUCCACAUGGAUCUGCCAAUGAUGUGGAAGGCUAAUAGGGUUCCACUUGUGCCAGUGCCUGGGUGAACAAGUAUGUCCAAUUUAGGAGUCAAUUCCUAGGAAGCUAUUAGGUUUUAGAUCUAAAAUUGUAAUCUCCAAUCAGGCUGUUUUAGUAAUAAAGGUGAUAUUUUGAAUUCCAUUUGCUUGCUAUUGCUUCUUUGUCUCAGUUGUUUCCAAAAGAAGAAAAAGAUCUAUUAUUUAGUAAUCUACAUGAACCCCACAUAGAGAGAAAAUAGAGUACAUAAUUCCAUCAUAUAAAAAAUAAAUUUAAAAUACAUGAAGAGUUAAAUGAGAAAAAUAAUAUUUAAAUAUACAGGCAUAUCUCAGAGAUACUGUGGAUUUGGCUCCAGAUCACUGAAAUAAAGCAAAUAUGGCAAUGAAACAAGUCACACAAAUUUGGGGGGGUUCCCAAUGCAUAAAAAAUUAUGUUUACUCUAAACUGUGGUCCAUUAAGCAUUUAAACAUUAUGUCUAAAAACUGUACAUAUUUUAAUUUAAAAAUACCUUAUUGUUAAAAAAUACUAAUGAUCAUCUGAGCCUUCAGUGACUCAUAAUCUUUUUUUUUUUGGUAAAAGGUCUUGUUUGAUGUUGAUGGUUGCUGUUUGAUCAGGGUGUGGUUGCUGAAGGUUAGGGUGGCUGUGGCAAUUUCUUAAAAUAAGACGACAGUGAAGUUUGCUGCAUCAAUGGAUUCCUCCUCGAACAAAAGAUUUCUCUAUAGCAUGCAACGCUAUCUAUCUGAUAGCAUUUUACCCAUAGUAGAACUUUCAAAGUUUGAGUCAGUCCUCUCAAAUCCUGCUGCUACUUUAUCAAUUAAGUUUAUGUUUGGGUAGUAUUAACUGGAGUUAAUUAAAUAUGGAGUGACUAUUAUGGGGAAACACUGUCAGUUUCUGUGCAGAAUCCCAUGAUAGACAUUUCUAGUAGUUUCAACAAUGUCUGGGGCUCCUACCCUUCUAGGCUAAUGUGAACGCAUUUGAGCUUCAUAUAUCAACGAGUCCAUUUCACAAACAUGAUAUUCAUUAAAGGAAGCAAAAGGCAGAACACAUUCAGUUGAUUGUAUUUGUAUGCAUUACAUGUAGCAAAAUUAUAAGGAAAAUAAAAGGGAUGAUAACUAUUGAAAUAUUUCUUAAGCUAAGUGGAACAUGCAUAAAUAAUAUUUAAUAAUGUGCUCUAUACAUUUUAUGUAUAUAAAAUAUAGUUUCCUCCAAUAAAGGUUAUCUUAUUCUGAAAUCAUGGGUGGUAAGUAAAGCUUGUGAAAUAUGGAUUAUAAUAUGAUACCUGCAGUCAUCACCCUGGCACAACUAACACUUACUGGCUCCAUAUUCCUUACUAGGUAGAAGGCAAAUGUCUCACUUAGCAUGGCAUAGUUCUUCUACAGUUAGAAUCUUACUUUCCUUUCUCUACUCCUCUUCUCUUUUCUUCUUCCUGCUUACAACACGUUCACUGAGUAACCAAUGGAUCAAUCUCAGUUCCUUGAGUGUAAUUUUAAAAUAUUUUUACCUAAAAUACUUUGUUCCUUAACUUCUAACCAUCCUUUCCAACACAGUUAAAAUAUUGUCUUUGUGAAACUAUUUCCAAUUCUCAUACUGUGGUAUAUACUUUAAGGUAUUCUAAUGGGCUUACAUAUCUGUAUUCUCCAUUAAGGAUAGCUCAUGGAAGGUAGUGCCCUGUCUUAUUUGUCAUUGUUUCCCUAAUACUUAGCCCAGUGUCUGGCAUACUAAAUGCCUAAUGUUAGACAAAUAAACUACUUGGAAGAGCUGUUGAAAUGUUAAAAUGUUCAAAAAGUUGAAGGGACAAUUUCUGAAUUAAUGACACAAUGAACAGUAUCAAAAUUCAGAGAAUGUCACUGUGGAUGAGAGUGAUCUGGAAAGAUUCCAUCAAAGCUGGUGGCUCUGAGGUAGGUCUAACAGGAUGGGUAAGAUUUGCAGUAAUUGAGGAGAGUGGUGAGCUUCCCAAGCUAACCAGUUAUGAGAGCAAAGGGUUGGAGAAAGGGAAGACUUUCUUCAUUCUGCAGAUCUCCAUGCAUAUGCAACCUCUUUUAGGAAGCUAGUGUCCUUAUUCUGUCUUCCGUAGACUGUUCACAUUUCCUCAGUGUUUCUGGUGAUUUCUCUAGAAUCAAAGACUGUGUUAGGGCUUCAGGUCCAUGAGAAAUGAAGAGAGAAUGGGAUAAUACUGUAGAUGAAGCUAAGCAAGGAUACUGGUCUCAGUUAGAAGGUGGCUUCAGCCUGAUCCCACAGGAUCAGGAGUGUCAGUCACACCGAGUUGAUCCCACCUUGAGGAAAAUGCAGUCGUUUAUACCCCCAGAUUAGCCAGUUAUUAACUACAGGCUGUCUCGAGGGGAGGGUGCCAAUCUCCUGGGCAAGAGAACUCCCAUUUGGAUGAAGGCAAUUCUCUAAGGAGGGACCAGCUGGGAACUAUGAGCAUGCUCAACAUGGGUGAACUUGCCUGCUAAGGUGGAUCUGAGCAAGGCAUUACCAAAAAAUCUGCUCAGUUACCCUAGAGUGAUUAUACAUUUUUGUCCACGCUUCUGCUUUGAUGCUACUCUGUGUCAUGCUGUUGUAUCACCAUCCCCAUCUUCUGGGCUAUUUAUUCUGUUUUUGUCAGGCAGUAUUGCUUUCAAAUUGAUCCUGAUCUUCUGAACACCACUAAAUCUCCUGGUUAUUGGCACUACUUCUUGGCACUAUGGCCAUUUCUAUUGGAUACCACCUUUUAUUUAUUACCAGGAAACAUCAGCUCCUGCUGCUGAUUCUGCAGCUUUCCGGGUGUCAAGUUCUAUUCAGGGUCAAAGCCUGGGAGAGUGCUCCUUGUAUUGUGUUGCAUUGUAUUUGUUAAAUGAAUGCUCAAAGGCAGGGAAGAAUGUACCCCAAUGCUUUUGAGAGUUAAUAGUAUAGGUACUCUUUCACUUGCUACUUAGAGCACUACCCUACCAAAUGCUACUCAGACUUCCCUUUCUCCAGUGACUAAUGCUUUGUUAUUGAAACACUAUGAUCUUCUCAACUUUCUGCUCCCUUUGGGUGCACCCCCUCCUCACUGGUCUCUCAAUCUCUCCUGCAAAUGGACUUUUGGUAGGUCUGUGCCAUCAAAGCUUUAGGCUGCCGAAACGUCUGAAUUCCAGUAGUGGCAAAACCAUAACCCCAGCUACAUGUGCAAAACUCUGAUUAAGACUAAAUUAUUUAGAUAAUAGAAAUUGUAGUUAAUUCAAUAUGCAGUGACAAUUGUGGGGAAAACACUGUGUUAUGUUCUGUGCAGAAUCCCAUGAUAGACAUUUCUAACAUUUUUAUCAAUGUCUGGGGCUCCUAUCCUUCUAGGCAAAUGGAAAACAGCCACUGAGCUGUGAGUGGAAAUGACUUAUGGGAUGAAGCAUUUAAUUACCAGUGUCAUUUCUAGAUUGAAAUGUUUAAUUGCUCAUAUGAGAUUCCCUUGUGCUCUCAUGCCCUUGCUGUAGCAAGUAUGGAGAAAUCCUGUGGACAUAUGGUGGAACCAAUGGUUGAGCAGUCUUCAUUGCGUGAAAGAGUUUCUCUCGAGUUUCUCAGACCCACAGUGGAUGUUGCAUAAAUAAGAGAAAUGAGAAAUACUGUUUUUCUGAGUUAAGCCAUUAAGAUUUGGAAUCUGUGUAAGUAUAGCAUAAGCUGUACUAACCUAUCUUCACUAAUGAAAACAACCCUGUUCUUUUCCCUCCUGUUACCCAUUCUACUAAAUAGUAUGGUCUCCAUAAUGAAGAAUUUUGGCGAAGGCUACAAAUUAGAAAACUUUAUAGUAAUGAGUACUCACUUUCCCUGCCCUCUUUUGACUCAUUGUAUCUCCUGGCAUGUUAUUAAGAAAUCUCUAUGUUUAAAUAGAAUGGUUUGGCAAAAAUUUACUGAACAUAAAUAGAUUGCAGUUGGUUAAUUUGCUACAGUUGUUAAAAUAAUACCUGAGUUACAAAAUAAUUUGCCUGCAUAAUGUAAGAAGUGAGUGAUCAUGUAGGUUGCAAGACCCUAGAAAGCCAAACCUUUCAAAUUCUAUUUUUUAAAUGAAGUUGGUCAGAAGUAUGCUUUCAAUAAAAGUGUUCAUUUUGGAAAGUCUGGUAACUAAUGCUAAGAGUUAUAUAAAUAUAUAGUAAAAUAUGUUUCCUCACUGGAAUCUUCCAAAAUAAAUAAAUCUAAGAAAUACCUUUGUUUAUACUGUUCUUGGUGAGCUGUACUGAAAUAAAAAGAAAGAUGGAAUAUGAGAUAUUUAUGUAACAAAAUAAGACUUAUGGAAUAUUAUUACUGUCAAGAUAAUGAAUAUUUCAAUAUAAAAAGUCUCUGUAUGGUAUGUGUGAUAUGGCAUUUAAUAUUUAUCUAAACACAUCUAUUUUUUAGAAAAUACAUAAAACUCCAUAGACAGUGAAAUUUGCUGCUUUCAACCAAUGGCUAAAAUUUGCAUCUGUCUUAUGUUGGUGAAUUAAUCUACUCCGAAUUUUCUCAUAUGAAAAAAAUUAAAUCAUAAUAUAUAUAUGAUAAUUUAUAUGAUGAAAGAGAAUUGAUAAACAGCUUCAGAGAAAGAUGUAUGAUAUCCCAAAAUCAGAUAGAGCUUACACUGUUGGCCAGGAAUUAGCAGUUGUUUGGAAUAUUUCUUCCCUGUAAGCACCUCACGACAUCAAAUUGUAGACUGGCUUUUCUAUUACAGUCAGAGAAGACCCUUCAUGCGGCAUUUCUAUAGAGAGAAAUUUCACUGUGGUGGCAAACUCAUCUAUUUAUUUAACACUGGUAUUUCAGCCAUCUGACAAAUGGCCUUUUAUCCAAAAACAAAGACAAUGAAACACCCUUUUUCAUGACCACUAUUAAUAAUUGUAGAAUUUUGGUGUUUAAAUGCAGUAUUAAAAAAUAUGUACAUAACAACAACUAAAUAUUUACUGAACAUGAAUUAUGUGUCAGGCAUUAUGUUCUGUAUGAAUUAUUUUAUGUAAUUCUCAAAACCCUCCCUUAAGUUAGGUACUAUUAUUAGUUCCAUUUUACAAAGCAGAAAGCACCGAUAGACUAAGUAACUUAUUCAAAGGCAUAAAUUUAGUCAUUAAUUAUACAUGAAUUGAACAAAGAUUUGUCUGGCACUAAGGUUACAGAAAUGGGUAAAACAUGAGCCCAGUCCCUGUGGAACUUAGUGGGAGACAUAGACAUGUAAAUGGCAAUUUAAAAGGACAUGAAAAGAACCACACACUCGAAACAGGAACUGUAAUUUGAGAAAUAGAAAAUAACAUUUGAGCUGAAAGUAAGAUUUCAGCAGAAAAAAGGGGAAGGUCAUUCCCGACAUCAUAUCCUGCAUGUUUAGCAAUAGAGAGGUAUGAAGGGCCACGGAGUUUGGGAAAUGCUGAUGAGUGUGUAUGGCUGGAAUGGAAUGUGUGAGGAGAAAUAAGAGAAACUCUGUGGCUCAAUUCACAGAGCCAAAAUCAUUCGGUUAAUCUUUGCUUCAAACACUUUUACCAUUUACUUACCUCCUUUUCUUUCCUCCUCUUUAUGUGUUUACUAUUUCCACAAUAGUGCUUACGUAAAUAUUUUUUAAAGUAUAGGAUGCUCAAGAUGACAUAUAUGAGGAAAUACUAUAUAAUAGAUUCAGGCACGUAAAGAAGUGAGAAAAGAGAUAAUAUUCCUUUAAUUAGACCAAAAGUAGUUUCUAAAAUUAAAUAUCUAAAAAAUCCCUGAACAUUCCGGAUGAUAUAGGAAAGCAAGAAAAAAGAUUGCACACACAAUUUAAAAUUCUGAUUUCUGAGUAUCAAGCCUACUUGUGAGGUUGGACAAUCCCUAAGGUUAUCUAGGGCAUUUGAAAUAUACCACAACUCCUGGGGAAACCCCUAUAGAAAAGCAAAUUUGUUUUAGAAAACAAAAACAAAAACCAACCAGGACUCUCUCAGUUUAUGUUUAAAUAUGCUAAAGUAAUUCAUUUCAGAAGACAGUGUGCCAAAAAAUUAAGUAAAAUAAAAUAAAAAAGAAAAUUCUAAGAUUAUCUAGAGCAAUAUAGAGUAAUUCAGGAAAACAUACAUGCGUUUACUACAAAUGAGAAACGCAUAAAGCGUAAGUCAUGAAGGGUGUUUUCUACCAAAAUUAUGAUUAUUAUCUAUCAAAAUAAUAAUUUCUAGGAAAAUAAUGAUAAAACAAACGUUAAUUAUUUCUAGCCCUUUCUAGCAAGACAAGAACCUGCUAUAGAAGUAAGGAGGCCAAACAUGAAAGAAACCAUGUAUAGUGCAACAGGUGAAGGCCUGCAGGUAUAUUAAAAGUAAAUGCUUGUUUUACUUUUUUACCCUUCAAGAACAGAGCUAUUUUGGGAAACGUGUCUGACAUAAUAGUAUGUGGUGGCAAAGACUGAUGAAAUAAUUUGUGCAUGAAAAUAAUAAUAAACAGCAUGAGUUAGAAAGUUAUGAAUGCAGAUAUAUGUCAUAUAUCUGUGUCAUAUAUAUAAAACACAUGACACACAAAAUUUAUACAGAGACCCCAAUGCAUAUAGUUUCACAGAAUAUAAUAUAGAUGGAAAAGAGAGAAGAAGCAAAGAAGAAGGCAGAAGAGAUGUGGCAGAACUUUUUUCCAAAAAUGGCCACAAUAUUUCCAUCCUAUAUGUUUUUUGAUAUGCCUUCCAUUGAGAGAUGGGGUCCACUCAAUAUUUUCCCCUUUAAUUUAUGUCUAUAACUAUGUAAAUAACAUGACUGUGUCAAAUUCUAUUGAAGAGAAAUAUCCCAAGGAGAAAUAUGAUGUGUCGAUGGUUAAAAGAAUUCGUCUGAUUUUUGAGGGUAGGUAAUGAGAAAUGAAAGUUUCCAUCUCGUUCUCUUUGGAUACUCUGCUUUGGGGCUCUGAGCCAUGAUGUAAGAUGUUUGAGGCCGCCAUCUGGUAAGCCCAGGCCAUAUGUAGAUUAUGUGACCAACAGCUCCAGCUGAGGAUCCUGCCAACAGCUAGCAUGCAUCCAGGUGAUUCCCACUCCCAGCCUUUAAGUCCUUCCAGCUGAGGCCUCAGAUAUCAUGGAGCAGAGACAAAUGUGGACACAUACCUCUCAUGAGUAAGUAAUGAUGUUUAUUUAAGAAUGAAAUAAAAAUACUAUUUUUCCUUUUAAUUUAUGUGUAUUGUAUUUUCAUGAGACUACUACUGUAAGUUGUUGAGACAUAACUACUUAUUAGUUGAUUGGACAUAAUAAACAAAACAAUUAGGUAUUUCAUGGAGCCUA